CGUCUACGAGUUUGAUCCUGGCUCAGAACGAACGCUGGCGGCGCGUCUUAAACAUGCAAGUCGAACGAUCUGUAGCAAUACAGGGAGUGGCGGACGGGUGAGGAACACGUAGGAAUCUACCUCGAAGAGCGGGACAACUUUGGGAAACCGGGCUAAUACCGCAUAGUACAGAGAUGUUAAAGGGCUAGCAAUAGUCGCUUCGAGAUGAGCCUGCGGUCUAUCAGCUUGUUGGUGAGGUAAUGGCUCACCAAGGCUACGACGGAUAGCCGGUCUGAGAGGAUGAUCGGCCACACUGGCACUGAGACACGGGCCAGACUCCUACGGGAGGCAGCAGUUAAGAAUCUUGCGCAAUGGGGGCAACCCUGACGCAGCGACGCCGCGUGAAGGAUGAAGGCUUUCGGGUUGUAAACUUCGGUAGACUGGGAAGAAGAAAUAACGUUCGUUGAGGGCGUAUAGUGACGGUACCAGUCUGAAGCCCCGGCUAAUUACGUG
Molecule: ribosomal RNA, 492 nt
Filed under: uncultured bacterium
Lineage: Bacteria
Description: bacterial SSU rRNA
Rfam family: Bacterial small subunit ribosomal RNA
Source: RNAcentral